Molecule: ribosomal RNA, 253 nt
Filed under: uncultured bacterium
Lineage: Bacteria
Description: partial 16S ribosomal RNA
Rfam family: Bacterial small subunit ribosomal RNA
Source: RNAcentral
UACGUAGGGUGCAAGCGUUGUUCGGAAUUACUGGGCGUAAAGCGCACGUAGGCGGCUUUGUAAGUUAGAGGUGAAAGCCCAGGGCUCAACCCUGGAAUUGCCUUUAAGACUGCAUCGCUAGAAUUGUGGAGAGGUAAGUGGAAUUCCGAGUGUAGAGGUGAAAUUCGUAGAUAUUCGGAAGAACACCAGUGGCGAAGGCGACUUACUGGACACAUAUUGACGCUGAGGUGCGAAAGCGUGGGGAGCAAACAGG